AGAACCAGGCUUUGAAGAACAUGCCGAUGGCAAGCAGGACCACGGUGAGGUGCGGGAAAACCGCCGGGUUCACCGGGCUCGUGUACCGGGUCAUGGCCUCCAACUCCUGCGCAGAAAAGCAGGCAAUAAAAGACUCAAAAUGAGACAGAAAUCAGAGAUAAAACCAUAGCAAACCUGACCAGAAGCAGCAGCAGCAGCACAGAUGUACCUCCUUGACGUUCUCCUUGGCUCUGAUGUCUGAGGGAUGCACGAGUGAGCCCAUGACCUUCACGUUGCCGUGAACGACGAGCGCCUCAUCGGGGCGAUCCGUGUUGAUGCCCACCCGCCCGUGAUGGUACACAGAGUCUGGCAGCUGCCCUCGCUGCCACAGCACCUCACUGUCGCUCUCAAACUGACCUGGGUUCGACGCCUGGAUGCAGAAGAACAAACAAACAAAAAGCCAAGUAAGACAAUGAUUUAGUUCAACUACAGUAACUGUAACUGACUGGGAAUGCCAGAUC
This 500-nucleotide long non-coding RNA is filed under the name Danio rerio (zebrafish). RNAcentral describes it as "si:ch211-247i17.6 (ENSDARG00000097294.2)". The record is from RNAcentral. Lineage: Eukaryota; Metazoa; Chordata; Actinopteri; Cypriniformes; Danionidae.